AAAAACAUCGCCUCUUGACAAAAUAUAAGAGGUCCAGCCUGCCCAGUGACAAAGUUAAACGGCCGCGGUACCCUAACCGUGCGAAGGUAGCGCAAUCACUUGUUCUUUAAAUGAGGACUAGUAUGAAUGGCAUCACGAGGGUUGCACUGUCUCCCCUUUUUAAUCAAUGAAACUGACCCCCCCGUGAAGAGGCGGGGAUAUAACUAUAAGACGAGAAGACCCCAUGGAGCUUUAAACUCAGUAUCAACCGCCUAACAACAUAUCAUUACAAUUUGGCAGAUCUGAUUACUAGUUUUCGGUUGGGGUGACCGCGGAGUAAAACAAAACCUCCACGAUGAAAGGACCUAUACUCCUAAUCAUAGAGCCACAGCUCAAAGAAUCAAAAAACUGACAUAAAUUGAUCCAAUUAAUUUGAUCAACGAACCAAGUUACCCUGGGGAUAACAGCGCAAUCCACUUCAAGAGCCCCUAUCGACAAGUGGGUUUACGACCUCGAUGUUGGAUCAGGGUAUCCCAGUGGUGCAGCCGCUACUAAAGGUUCGUUUGUUCAACGAUUAAAACCCUACGUGAUCUG
This 573-nucleotide ribosomal RNA is filed under the name Kaloula pulchra (Malaysian narrowmouth toad). RNAcentral describes it as "partial large subunit ribosomal RNA". It matches the Rfam family "Bacterial large subunit ribosomal RNA", at positions 1809 to 2607 of the family's 2925-position model. Lineage: Eukaryota; Metazoa; Chordata; Amphibia; Anura; Microhylidae. The record is from RNAcentral.